GAAACGGGCUGGCGGAUGCCGGGCAGGACGCGGCGGCUGGCAGCCUGCCCUGGCCGCCCGCCCGAUUCCCCCGCCCGGCGGCAGCGGCGGGCGCCCCGCCGGAGCCACUUCUAAACGCUUGCCAAAAAUGCACAACUUUGCAACCCUUUGUUAACAGGCACUGAAGCUGUUCCAGUGUGGACCACAUCAUCUAUCUAUGUAAAAAUCUAGACUGACCUGCUGCUUCUUUGAGAGAAGGAUCAGGAUACAUUCAUUUGGAAACACUGGCUGAAAAGUGCUACCAGCAAAAAUGUCUGAAACAUCAUCAUUUUCAUUUUCUUCUGAUGUCACUGA
Molecule: long non-coding RNA, 333 nt
Organism: Pezoporus occidentalis (night parrot)
Lineage: Eukaryota; Metazoa; Chordata; Aves; Psittaciformes; Psittacidae
Exons: 3
Source: RefSeq, a predicted model, not a curated record